This is a long non-coding RNA of Apis dorsata (giant honeybee), 900 nucleotides long. RefSeq lists it as uncharacterized. NCBI's taxonomy places the organism in Eukaryota, Metazoa, Arthropoda, Insecta, Hymenoptera, Apidae. The transcript has 2 exons. The record is from RefSeq and is a predicted model, not a curated record.
UCCUCACUGUGAACCAGAACACCGGGAAAAAUCCGGAGGUUAGGAUCAUGCGUGAUGUGCCACCUGUUUUCGCGUGCAGCCUUGUGUUUUUUUUCUUUUUUUUUUUUCUCUUUUUUUUUCUAUUAAUCACGUUUACGUGAGAAGAGGUGAUUACGGAUUCGUUUUAGUGUGUCAGUGCUUUGGGAACACGUUGCAAUAUAUAGUUUGUCUCGAAAUUUAUGGACGAGUGUGAAAGUUAACCUCUUCGGAACAUUAAGGAAAAGUGGAAUUUGAGUAUUCGUAACAUUCAGUGAUAACAUUUAGUUGGAUAAUCCUCCGUAAAAUAAUACUUUUAAACUGUGAAUAUUAAUUAAUUACAUAUGUUAGAUAAUUUUGUUGUUAAUUAACGAUAUGAUUACUUGUUAUACCAUUGUUUGAAAGAAAAUUAUGCGAUUAGAAUGAGUGAAGAGAAAAAGAAAAUAGCACAAACAAAAUUAAUUAACAUAGAGAAAUUAUUUUAUUGACUUUCACGUUAUUUCUGUCCUCAAGAAACAUUAUGUAAAUAUUAUGUUACUAACAUUUGGGUGGCUGUUACAUAAAACCUAUUUCUACGCAUUAUGAGAGCAAAGUAUACACCAAAUAUCCGUUUAAUUACAUCACUCGAAAAAUAUCUUUCGAACUUUCAGAUCUUACGAAAAUUAUUAUUACUACACCAUAAUCGAGGAUAUUCCGGUUUGUCCAGAAUUUAUCUUUUACGUAAUACACAGUCGCAAAGCUUCCUCAAUCUACUCAAAUUCUACUCUCCCUUUGAAAUGAGAUCUUUUAGAAUAUUUUUUUUUUUUUUUACAGCGAAUAACCAAAAAAUAGUAGUCUUCGAAUUAGAAAUAUCACGAAUAUAAAACACCACACUCAGAAAAUUUU